GUGAGGAAUAUUGGGCAAUGGGCGAAAGCCUGACCCAGCCACGACGCGUGAGUGAUGAAGGCCUUCGGGUUGUAAAGCUCUGGGGGGAGGGAAGAAAAAGCGCAGGAGUAACUGCCUGUGUGUUGACGGUACCUCCUUAGCAAGCACCGGCUAACUCUGUGCCAGCAGCCGCGGUAAUACAGAGGGUGCAAACGUUGCUCGGAAUUACUGGGCGUAAAGCGCGUGUAGGCUGACAUGCAAGUCGGGUGUGAAAUCCCAGGGCUCAACCUUGGAACGGCACUCGAAACUGCACGUCUUGAGUACUGGAGAGGGAAGCGGAAUUCCGGGUGUAGAGGUGAAAUUCGUAGAUAUCCGGAGGAACACCAGUGGCGAAGGCGGCUUCCUGGACAGUAACUGACGCUGAGACGCGAAAGCGUGGGGAGCAAACAGGAUUAGAAACCCGUGUAGUCC
This 450-nucleotide ribosomal RNA is filed under the name uncultured bacterium. RNAcentral's name for it is "bacterial SSU rRNA". It matches the Rfam family "Bacterial small subunit ribosomal RNA", at positions 354 to 796 of the family's 1533-position model. The record is from RNAcentral.